UAUUUUGAUAGAUCUGCCCCAGCU
RNAcentral lists this non-coding RNA (24 nucleotides) under Arabidopsis thaliana (thale cress). The record is from RNAcentral. Lineage: Eukaryota; Viridiplantae; Streptophyta; Magnoliopsida; Brassicales; Brassicaceae.